GGGCGAUUGGCGCAGUGGUAGCGCGCUUCCCUGACACGGAAGAGGUCACUGGUUCGAACCCAGUAUCGCCCA
Molecule: transfer RNA, 72 nt
Organism: Actinomyces sp. S6-Spd3
Lineage: Bacteria; Bacillati; Actinomycetota; Actinomycetes; Actinomycetales; Actinomycetaceae
Rfam family: tRNA
About the family: Transfer RNA (tRNA) molecules are approximately 80 nucleotides in length. Their secondary structure includes four short double-helical elements and three loops (D, anti-codon, and T loops).
Source: Rfam